GCCCGAGUAGCUCAGUCGGUAGAGCGUUAGGCUUUUAACCUAACGUUCCAGGGUUCAAGCCCCUGCUCGGGCG
Molecule: transfer RNA, 73 nt
Filed under: Rhipicephalus microplus (southern cattle tick)
Lineage: Eukaryota; Metazoa; Arthropoda; Arachnida; Ixodida; Ixodidae
Description: tRNA-Lys
Rfam family: tRNA
About the family: Transfer RNA (tRNA) molecules are approximately 80 nucleotides in length. Their secondary structure includes four short double-helical elements and three loops (D, anti-codon, and T loops).
Source: Rfam by way of RNAcentral